AGCUAGUUGGUGAGGUAAUGGCUCACCAAGGCAAUGACACCUAACUGGUUUGAGAGGAUGAUCAGUCACACUGGAACUGAGACACGGUCCAGACUCCUACGGGAGGCAGCAGUGGGGAAUAUUGCACAAUGGACGAAAGUCUGAUGCAGCAACGCCGCGUGGAGGAUGACACAUUUCGGUGCGUAAACUCCUUUUAUAUAGGAAGAUAAUGACAGUACUAUAUGAAUAAGCACCGGCUAACUCCGUGCCAGCAGCCGCGGUAAUACGGAGGGUGCAAGCGUUACUCGGAAUUACUGGGCGUAAAGAGCGUGUAGGCGGGUAAAUAAGUUGGAAGUGAAAUCCUAUGGCUCAACCAUAGAACUGCUUCCAAAACUGUUAACCUAGAAUGUGGGAGAGGUAGAUGGAAUUUCUGGUGUAGGGGUAAAAUCCGUAGAUAUCAGAAGGAAUACCGAUUGCGAAGGCGAUCUACUGGAACACUAUUGACGCUGAGACGCGAAAGCGUGGGGAGCAAACAGGAUUAGAUACCCUGGUAGUCCACGCCCUAAACGAUGUACACUAGUUGUUGUGAGGCUAGACCUUGCAGUAAUGCAGUUAACACAUUAAGUGUACCGCCUGGGGAGUACGGUCGCAAGAUUAAAACUCAAAGGAAUAGACGGGGACCCGCACAAGCGGUGGAGCAUGUGGUUUAAUUCGACAUACGCGAAGAACCUUACCUGGUCUUGACAUAGAAAGAACUUUCCAGAGAUGGAUUGGUGCCUGCUUGCAGGAGCUUUCAUACAGGUGCUGCACGGCUGUCGUCAGCUCGUGUCGUGAGAUGUUGGGUUAAGUCCCGCAACGAGCGCAACCCUCGUCGUUAGUUGCUAACAGUUCGGCUGAGAACUCUAACGAGACUGCCUACGCAAGUAGGAGGAAGGUGAGGACGACGUCAAGUCAUCAUGGCCCUUACGACCAGGGCUACACACGUGCUACAAUGGGGUAUACAAAGAGCAGCGAUACGGUGACGUGGAGCGAAUCUCAAAAAUGCCUCCCAGUUCGGAUAGUAGUCUGCAACUCGACUACUUGAAGUUGGAAUCGCUAGUAAUCGUAGAUCAGCUAUGCUACGGUGAAUACGUUCCCGGGUCUUGUACUCACCGCCCGUCACACCAUGGGAGUUGAAUUCAUUCGAAGCGGGGAUGCUAAAAUAGCUACCUUCCACAGUGGAUUUAGCGACUGGGGUGAAGUCGAAACAAGGUAACCGUAGGAACCUGCGGUUG
RNAcentral lists this ribosomal RNA (1253 nucleotides) under metagenome. Its description in RNAcentral is "bacterial SSU rRNA". It matches the Rfam family "Bacterial small subunit ribosomal RNA", at positions 243 to 1520 of the family's 1533-position model. The record is from RNAcentral.